UAACGCGAAGAACCUUACCAGGUCUUGACAUACUAUGCAAAUCUAAGAGAUUAGACGUUCCCUUCGGGGACAUGGAUACAGGUGGUGCAUGGUUGUCGUCAGCUCGUGUCGUGAGAUGUUGGGUUAAGUCCCGCAACGAGCGCAACCCUUAUUAUCAGUUGCCAGCAUUAAGUUGGGCACUCUGGUGAGACUGCCGGUGACAAACCGGAGGAAGGUGGGGGUGACGUCAAAUCAUCAUGCCCCUUAUGACCUGGGCUACACACGUGCUACAAUGGAUGGUACAACGAGUUGCGAACUCGCGAGAGUAAGCUAAUCUCUUAAAGCCAUUCUCAGUUCGGAUUGUAGGCUGCAACUCGCCUACAUGAAGUCGGAAUCGCUAGUAAUCGCGGAUCAGC
RNAcentral lists this ribosomal RNA (395 nucleotides) under uncultured bacterium. Its description in RNAcentral is "bacterial SSU rRNA". It matches the Rfam family "Bacterial small subunit ribosomal RNA", at positions 957 to 1353 of the family's 1533-position model. The record is from RNAcentral.